GCCCAACCGUAAACUUUAAAUUACACCUAUAUCGCCCGGGAACUACGAGCAAAGCUUAAAACCCAAAGGACUUGACGGUACCCCACAUCCACCUAGAGGAGCCUGUCCUAUAAUCGAUAACCCCCGUUAAACCUCACCAUUUUUAGCUUAUCAGCCUGUAUACCUCCGUCGUCAGCUUACCACGUGAGCGACUUCCAGUGAGCUUAAUGCCCAUACGCCAACACGUCAGGUCAAGGUGCAGCAGAUAAAAUGGGAAGAGAUGGGCUACACUCUCUAUUCUAGAAAAUACGGAAGACUAUUUAUGAAACCUAGUCAGAAGGCGGAUUUAGUAGUAAAAAGAGAUAAGAGCACUCUUUUUAACAUGGCACUGGGGUGUGUACACACCGCCCGUCACCCUCUUCAAAGCUAACAUGAAGUUCCUAACACACUUAAGCAUUACAGAAGAGGCAAGUCGUAACAUGGUAAGUAUACCGGAAGGUGUGCUUGGAAA
RNAcentral lists this ribosomal RNA (490 nucleotides) under Osteocephalus taurinus (Manaus slender-legged treefrog). Its description in RNAcentral is "partial 12S ribosomal RNA". It matches the Rfam family "Bacterial small subunit ribosomal RNA", at positions 794 to 1522 of the family's 1533-position model. The record is from RNAcentral. Lineage: Eukaryota; Metazoa; Chordata; Amphibia; Anura; Hylidae.